Molecule: ribosomal RNA, 253 nt
Filed under: uncultured bacterium
Lineage: Bacteria
Description: partial 16S ribosomal RNA
Rfam family: Bacterial small subunit ribosomal RNA
Source: RNAcentral
UACGUAGGGGGCAAGCGUUGUCCGGAUUUAUUGGGCGUAAAGAGCGUGUAGGCGGCCAUUCAGGUCAGCUGUGAAAAUUCGAGGCUCAACCUCGAGACGUCGGUUGAAACCGUUUGGCUAGAGUCCGGAAGAGGAGAGUGGAAUUCCCGGUGUAGCGGUGAAAUGCGCAGAUAUCAGGAGGAACACCGGUGGUGUAGACGGCUCUCUGGACCGUAACUGACGCUGAGACACGAAAGCGUGGGUAGCAAACAGG